This 170-nucleotide non-coding RNA is filed under the name Neobittarella massiliensis (ex Bilen et al. 2018). Its description in RNAcentral is "Lysine riboswitch". It matches the Rfam family "Lysine riboswitch aptamer". From Rfam's summary of the family: Riboswitches are metabolite binding domains within certain messenger RNAs that serve as precision sensors for their corresponding targets. Allosteric rearrangement of mRNA structure is mediated by ligand binding, and this results in modulation of gene expression. The record is from RNAcentral. Lineage: Bacteria; Bacillati; Bacillota; Clostridia; Eubacteriales; Oscillospiraceae.
GAUAGAGGUGCGGAUUUGAUGAGUACACACAGGCGAGGCCAGCCAGGGCUGCACGAGCGGUGUGAAAAGGCAACUCCGCCGAAGAGAGCGCAGCUGGCGGGGCGGUUCUCUGGUCGCGUGGCCGAACAGGCGCGCGACUGUCAUCAUGUACUUUGAUGGAGAGCUAUCGG